GCAACCUCAAGCUGGCCAAGACGAAUCUGGUCGUGUUCCGCUCGAUGCUGGGCAUCAGCUGGAUGUGGUUUUUCGGUGCGGUGUUCUUGAGCCAGUUUCCGAGCUUUGCCAAGGAAGUGAUG
Molecule: small RNA, 122 nt
Organism: Polaromonas naphthalenivorans CJ2
Lineage: Bacteria; Pseudomonadati; Pseudomonadota; Betaproteobacteria; Burkholderiales; Comamonadaceae
Rfam family: Burkholderia RNA 11
About the family: Co-purified with Hfq, expression confirmed by Northern blot. Predicted target marZ.
Source: Rfam